RNAcentral lists this long non-coding RNA (397 nucleotides) under Pongo abelii (Sumatran orangutan). RNAcentral's name for it is "lincRNA". Lineage: Eukaryota; Metazoa; Chordata; Mammalia; Primates; Hominidae. The record is from RNAcentral.
AAAGUCAUACUUCCAAUCCUCCAGAAUAGAUUACUUCUGAUUUGAAAGGAUAAAUUUCUUAGGGAAAUCAGUGCAUUGGUUACAUUAAAACUGUGUGACAGGCUUGGAAGUCUGAAAGAGCAGGAGAGAGGCUAAGCACACACAUAUUGUGAUUUUAGGAGUCUCAAGGUGAGAAGAAACAUCAGAAGCAGUUGACAGACCAGAGCAUGGGUCCUCAAAGGAUGAACAGAAGUUCUUUUGGAUAACAUUUUUAAAUGUUUCCUCCAGAGUUAUCUGCCUCAUUAACAAUGGUUUGAGUCUCAAGAGUCUCUCUUCGAUUUUACAAACAUGAUUUGUUGUUCUGCUAUAAAUUCAUGCUGUUCUAGUCCUUCAAUAAGUCCACAACAUAUUUUCACCA